GCUCUAAAAAAAGGUGACAGACGAGAAGAAUUUAAACAAGACUCCUUUCACUUUCCUUUCACUGUGUCACUUCUCCUCGCUCGACUCGUUUCUCAUUUCUCAGCCUGGAGAAGUUUCAACCAAAGUGACGUCGUACAGCACUUCAUUGUUCUCCAGGAUGCAUGUUUGGAUCCUGCCAAUUAUCACUCAACAAAAAUCACAGCUCUGCGUUCACAGCAACACCAGCAAUCGCCAAGCAGACAAAAAAUAACCAUGAAAAAGACUAAUCUGCCAUCCUACCGCGGCGCCAGUUCUUGGAAAGCUAUUGUUGCCCUUGGCCUGAAAGUCUCGACACAAACUGGAUCUCGAGCUUCACGGCUUUCUUCCUCUCCCCUUAACCACUUCACCCCCUCUACAUCUUCCAGAGAGAGAGGCAGAAACAACCGUGUUACGUGUUGCUGCCAAGCUCACAUCCGGCCAUGACGAACACAGCUCGCCGACAUGGAUGGCGAGGCAGACAGGCGAAGUGAAGUACAGAGGAGGAAGGUGGAGAGAUAAAGAUGGAGGGCUGCAGCCGAGGGGGCCUCUGCGGGGCUGCGGGUGAGUGGAGGAGUUCACGGGGAGGAGGUGGAGGAUGUGGAGGAUGUGGAGGGGAUGGGGUGAGCCUUUUUUCCUCCCUCCGUAUCACUCCCCUCUGUCGCUUCUAAAACAUGCACCGAUGCUCUCCACGCGCAGCAGCAGCAAUGUGCAGCUGCACGAUAAAGCGGCCAGGCGGGGACGAACAAGCUGCGCACUCGAAAAGCAAACUCGCUCACACUCGCUGAUAGAUAUCUGUUUAUCUUUACACUGCGUUUCAUUCUGCAAGCCACGACUCCCCCCUCUCUCCUCUACCUCCAUCCUCUCUGCCGGCUCACUCUCUAUUUUCCGUCCGCUCGUGUCUGCUUCCUCCCCGAACACACCAGAGAUUUUAAACUCAGUCUUUUUACCCCUGAUAUCAUCCCGAGUCCUGAUAUAGGGACUCAAUCUGCGGCGUUUCCCUCCCUGUUUCCUCUCCUCUGACUUGUCGUGACUGCCGGGUUUUUUCUACCUAAAAAAUGAGCAUAAAUAAAACAUCAGCUCCUUUGCACAAACGCCUAAGAGCUCCGAACCCCCCUUAGUCAUACUCUAAUUACUAUCAUCUAGCAUCCCCAGUGCCCACACACACACACUCCACAAUCCACUUCACACACAUAGGUGCCUGCCCUGGUUUUGACCUGCAGUGACCCCUAUUUGUUUUCUGUCGCUGUCCCUGUUUUAAAUCUUCAGACUCCCCCUCCCCGGACCAAAUGUCAAUAGAGUACUUCUUUAAAGUGUGAGGAGGGGCGCCCACGCCGAAUCCCUCAACCACACAGCGACAGAGAAACGCCGCUCCAUCACAACCCACGACUGACCUCGCUGAUGAAGAGCCCGUUACGUCGAACCAAAGAGGCGAGCCGAGGUGAAGCCCGGGGAUAAAGUGUUGGAAAAAAGGCGGCAGAGUGAGGUAUGAAGUGCACCGUGUCAGACGGCAUUUUUCACCGAGUGACACCCGAGUCCUCUCAGCUCGACUCGGGAGGGCCGAGGAAAUUCUCCACCUUUGAUGUAGAGCGCCGCAGAAGCAGCCUCCCCCACGCAGGCCUCCUCGCCGCUCGAUGGGUCGUCUAUCAUUUCUUAAAAACUCUGAAAAAAAAACGUCACCCCGGAGCAGCCUGAGGUGAAGGAGCUGCAGCCAGGUGACAUUUUUCAAGUGAAAGUUAGUGGACUUCAGCCCAGAUCUAUAUUGAAAAAGUACAAAUGGCCUCGAGUCUGGAAUGAGGAAUACGGUCUUAAC
RNAcentral lists this long non-coding RNA (1828 nucleotides) under Xyrichtys novacula (pearly razorfish). Lineage: Eukaryota; Metazoa; Chordata; Actinopteri; Labriformes; Labridae. The record is from RNAcentral.